This 254-nucleotide ribosomal RNA is filed under the name uncultured bacterium. RNAcentral describes it as "partial 16S ribosomal RNA". It matches the Rfam family "Bacterial small subunit ribosomal RNA", at positions 524 to 776 of the family's 1533-position model. The record is from RNAcentral.
UACGAAGGGGGCUAGCGUUGCUCGGAAUUACUGGGCGUAAAGGGCGCGUAGGCGGCACUGUUAGUCAGGCGUGGAAAUUCCUGGGCUCAACCUGGGGACUGCGCUUGAUACGGCAGAGCUAGAGGAUGGAAGAGGCUCGCGGAAUUCCCAGUGUAGAGGUGAAAUUCGUAGAUAUUGGGAAGAACACCGGUGGCGAAGGCGGCGAGCUGGUCCAUUCUGACGCUGAGGCGCCGACAGCGUGGGGAGCGAACAGG